GCAGCUCAGUGGCCGAGCAGCUGCUUCUCAAGCAGAAGGUCCCGGGUUCAAUCCCUCACAUCUCCA
Molecule: non-coding RNA, 66 nt
Organism: Podarcis lilfordi (Lilford's wall lizard)
Lineage: Eukaryota; Metazoa; Chordata; Lepidosauria; Squamata; Lacertidae
Source: the annotation of a GenBank genome assembly